This is a regulatory RNA element of Oceanithermus profundus DSM 14977, 89 nucleotides long. It matches the Rfam family "c-di-GMP-II-GAG riboswitch aptamer". The record is from Rfam. NCBI's taxonomy places the organism in Bacteria, Thermotogati, Deinococcota, Deinococci, Thermales, Thermaceae.
UGUGUAGUUGGAGGCGAUGACCCGCCAGGUCCCUAUACGGGCGCCAAGGGACGAGCGGCGAGCCAGUGGCGCGACCGACCAAACCCCUA